Molecule: ribosomal RNA, 389 nt
Filed under: uncultured bacterium
Lineage: Bacteria
Description: bacterial SSU rRNA
Rfam family: Bacterial small subunit ribosomal RNA
Source: RNAcentral
AUUGAACGCUGGCGGAAUGCUUUACACAUGCAAGUCGAGCGGCAGCGCGGGGGCAACCCUGGCGGCGAGCGGCGAACGGGUGAGUAAUACAUCGGAACGUGUCCUUAAGUGGGGGAUAGCUCGGCGAAAGCCGGAUUAAUACCGCGUAAGCUCUGAGGAGGAAAGCGGGGGCUCCGUAAGGACCUCGCGCUGUUGGAGCGGCCGAUGUCGGAUUAGCUAGUUGGUGGGGUAAAGGCCCACCAAGGCGACGAUCCGUAGCUGGUCUGAGAGGAUGAUCAGCCACACUGGAACUGAGACACGGUCCAGACUCCUACGGGAGGCAGCAGUGGGGAAUUUUGGACAAUGGGGGCAACCCUGAUCCAGCCAUUCCGCGUGAGUGAAGAAGGCCU